RNAcentral lists this long non-coding RNA (1362 nucleotides) under Numida meleagris (helmeted guineafowl). RNAcentral's name for it is "lncRNA (ENSNMEG00000017973.1)". The record is from RNAcentral. Lineage: Eukaryota; Metazoa; Chordata; Aves; Galliformes; Numididae.
AUGUGGCGCUGCAAGAGCGGAGUCGAGCUGGCUGCUCUCAGCCCUUCGCCAUUCUGGGAACUACUAGCCUUCGUGGGGCGAGAACCCGGCAUGGAGUGGCUGCUGCGUAGUUCUAGUGACUGCACUGGACUGUUGGGUUCAAGCAGGCAGGAGCCUGCCAGUGGGGAUAGAGUGGAUGAACUCAGCCGUGUUUCUGAGAAGCAUCCCUUGGGUCCUUGGCCCCUGAAGACGCUUAUGUUACUAGAGGACUCAGGAAGUAACCACCAAUGGCAGCUCUACUGUGAGGGCCUGAAGAAUUUUCUUGCCUUUAGAGAAGGCAUGGCACUGCCUGCAGUUUGGCCAGUUCCAGUGGGACAAGUGAAAGAGUUCUUGGUCUUCAUGGAGUCCCAGGAUCUGCUUCCCACAAAAAUGAUAACGUACAUCGAAGGAUUAUCCUUCAUCUCCAAAAUGGUAGAUCAUCCUGAUCCUCUUCAAGACCCUGCUGUCUGUCACAUGAUAUCAAGAUUGAAAUAUAGGACUGCCCCUUCAAAGGAUGGAUACUCUCCUGUAACAAUUGAAGUGUUAAGAUCUCUAUUGGGAACUCUGGAAUCUGUGUGUAGUUCUCCUUAUGAGUGUAUAUUGUUUCAUGCCUUAUUUACUGUAGCUUUUUGGGGGGCACUAUGUACAGAAGAAAUAGUGGCAAAUCACAGAAAUGUAGUGCAGCCAAAGCUCUUGUACUUGAGUGAUCUCCAGCUGACUGGCUGGAGUGCAAACCUUCACUUGCAUACAUCUCAUAUAGGUCAAGAAAGAUCUUUGGUCCAACUGAGACUUUCAAGGGAGAUGUGGGUAUGUCCUAUUGAAGCUCUUCAUGUCUAUGUGGCAGCAAGGCCGCAAGGAGAGGGUCCACUCUUUGUGCAUUUGGAUAGUAAGCCUGUGACAAAGAGGGAGUUCCUAAAUGUCUUCCGACGUGCUCUUGGCCUUGCUGGACAUCCUCCAAAUCAGUAUGGUGUGUAUUCCUUCUGGCUGGGGGCUCUUGUAACAGCAUGGUCUUCGUGUGUAUUCUGAUAAAGCCAUUGACAGAAUAGCAAGGUGGUGAUGAGUUGGUUGGAAGAGGACAUAAUUAUAGCUAUCUGUUGGACUUCUGUGGUUAUACUUAUCUUCUGCAAUGCAGAGAUAUUUUCAAAUGAAUAUAGUUUCAGUACCCUGCUAAGUUGUAGAAAAGAAGGAGUAACUACUACUUUUCUCACCCAAGAUGGCUUUGAGACUGUCUUGGUUUUAAAACGACUGUGACUUGUGGGUCUGUUGGUAUGUAUGCAUACAGCAUAUUUGUGCUGGCUGUAUUUUAACCUUAUGUGAUUUUUUUUUUAUUAUUAUUAAACUGCA